AUUGAACGCUGGCGGCAUGCCUUACACAUGCAAGUCGAACGGCAGCACGGGAGCAAUCCUGGUGGCGAGUGGCGAACGGGUGAGUAAUAUAUCGGAACGUGCCCAGUCGUGGGGGAUAACGUAGCGAAAGCUACGCUAAUACCGCAUACGAUCUAUGGAUGAAAGCGGGGGAUCGCAAGACCUCGCGCGAUUGGAGCGGCCGAUAUCAGAUUAGGUAGUUGGUGAGGUAAAGGCUCACCAAGCCGACGAUCUGUAGCUGGUCUGAGAGGACGACCAGCCACACUGGGACUGAGACACGGCCCAGACUCCUACGGGAGGCAGCAGUGGGGAAUUUUGGACAAUGGGCGAAAGCCUGAUCCAGCCAUGCCGCGUGCAGGAUGAAGGCCU
RNAcentral lists this ribosomal RNA (387 nucleotides) under uncultured bacterium. RNAcentral's name for it is "bacterial SSU rRNA". It matches the Rfam family "Bacterial small subunit ribosomal RNA", at positions 30 to 417 of the family's 1533-position model. The record is from RNAcentral.